RNAcentral lists this long non-coding RNA (1863 nucleotides) under Strongylocentrotus purpuratus (purple sea urchin). RNAcentral's name for it is "uncharacterized LOC105443511, transcript variant X2". Lineage: Eukaryota; Metazoa; Echinodermata; Echinoidea; Camarodonta; Strongylocentrotidae. The record is from RNAcentral.
CAUCCGAAGUCAUGUUUUCCCCAAGAGAAGCGAUUGAUUAUAUGUGAUUAAUGCCUUCCAGUACUGCAGUAGAUUCUGAUGAUAUUCCCGUGAACCAAUCGCGAGCAAGCAAGAAACCAGCCAGAUACAGCGAUGAUAAAUUGAAGGUGAGUGCUCUGAGUCAGUGAAAUAUGCAUGCACUCGUCGUGUUUACAGUCACACUGGAUAAGUUGAAGAGCUAGUAUAGAGGUUGGUUUUGAGCAUCAAAAUUUGGACGGUGGCCGGAGGAUGAGGAUCGAUGGAUGGGAGGCCUACGAUGAGGCUAACAAGAAGUGGUAGCUUGGCCUAAGCUUGAAAUGACCCAAUAUGCACUCUUCGUGUUCAGUCACACUGGAUAAUGUGAAGAGGGUGGUUUUGAGCAGCAAGGUUCGGCAGGUGGCAGGAGGAUGAAGAUCGAUGGAUAGGAGGCGUACGAUGAGGCUACAAAGAAGUGGUACUCUGUUGCCUUGCUUGAAAGGACCCCAAUUCAUUGCGAGAAGAUCGAAGGGGGCCGGACACAAAUCAGCUGAAUUUUGGCAGGCUCUGAGAGUAAAGAUGGAGGGAAUCAAAUAUAAGGCUAAAAACGUGUUAAUCUUCUUCAGAAUACACAAAGUAGAUUACGACUAAACUUGGCAGGAGUCAUCCCUUAAAACUAAGUAAGGGGAUCUUAAUUUGUUCAAGUGGGGGGGGGGGGGGGGGGGGGGGGGGGUGCACCAGGGGGGCCCAGAAAAACAAAAAAGCCAAAUCAACAUUGUCUUCUUGAAAAAGCAUAAUUGUGUGGGAACAGUAUCUCAAUUUACUGAAAAAAAUUACCAAAGUGCCCAGCUUGCAUGCUCAGGUAAGCACAAGACUCACAGGUCUCUAGUCUAUUACUUUUUUGCUUUUCAUCUUUAAGUGUUUGUGUAUUGGAGGGGGGGGGGGGGUAAAGUAUAGUGUCCAUCAAUGUUAUUUAUUGUUUUUGUUUAUCAACUGCCAAACAAUAGCUGCCUUCUGCAUCAGUGUGUUAAUAGGUGUACUUUUCAUAUGUUUAAUUAUAUUCAGGGCAAAUAUUAACCUUGCCUUUCAGUAGCCAUAUUACUUGUAUAGUGAUGCAUCGAUAUAUGCACAAUAUUGGAUUUUUGUUGUUGUAUGUGCCAAACAGGUUGGCGGAAUGUCAUGUUUGGUAUUUAUGAUACAUUUUUAUGUAUAUUUAUUUAAUUUAACAGAAACCUAUCUAUCACAUACAGUCAACUCUCAGCUGCCUAAGUCGAAUUUGCAUAAGAUGAAUGCAGGCCUAAGUCAAAGGUGUUAUGUUAGUCUUUUCUUUUUAUUUUCCAUUGUUUUGACCUUGCAUUAGUCGGAUCUGGACACUUUUAACGUAAAAAGAAUAUUUGUAUACCACUGUUUUUAGAAUUCUUACCCAAGAUUCCAGCAUUAGUACUAAUUGGUACCAGCGGUGACUGAUUUCAUAACCCACUGAUUGAGCCCAUGAAAAUUAUACAAAUUUCAUUUAUCUAUGCGCCCAAUACUUUGUGGUCUAAUAAUUAUUUUCCUGGCUGUAUUACUGUAACUAUUAUUUGCCGAAGAUAAACCGUUUCUUUUUUUAUAUGAACUAUGUGCUACAAUUCCCUUGCCUUCAGUUUAUUAGGAUGCACAUUUUUUUUCUACAUUUUCCUUUUUUAAUUUUUGUAUACCGGUAUAUAUAUAUUUUUUUAAUAUAUUUUUUAUAUCGAGGAUAAAACAAUAUCUCGACAUCAGCCAAAUUUUCAGGCAUCUUCUUGUGUAGGGUCCAUGCUUUUUCCAUGAUCAGCUGUACAAAUUCAUUGAUGUAUAUACCAUUAAAUUCAUGUUCCCAGAUCGUACACU